UACGAAGGGUGCAAACGUUGCUCGGAAUUAUUGGGCGUAAAGCGCACGUAGGCGGCUCCGCAAGUCGGGUGUGAAAUCCCUCGGCUCAACCAAGGAAGUGCAUCCGAAACUGCGAAGCUUGAGUACUAAAGAGGAUCGCGGAAUUCCCGGUGUAGAGGUGAAAUUCGUAGAUAUCGGGAGGAACACCAGUGGCGAAGGCGGGUCUCUGGACAGUUCCUGACGCUGAGGCACGAAGGCCAGGGGAGCAAACGGG
This 253-nucleotide ribosomal RNA is filed under the name uncultured bacterium. RNAcentral's name for it is "partial 16S ribosomal RNA". It matches the Rfam family "Bacterial small subunit ribosomal RNA", at positions 524 to 776 of the family's 1533-position model. The record is from RNAcentral.